RNAcentral lists this long non-coding RNA (1041 nucleotides) under Malus domestica (apple). Its description in RNAcentral is "long non-coding RNA (MDOM_LNC005556)". The record is from RNAcentral. Lineage: Eukaryota; Viridiplantae; Streptophyta; Magnoliopsida; Rosales; Rosaceae.
GAAAUUCUAAGCACUCAAAUGUCUGCCACAAAAAAGAUUUUAUAAUUACUCCUGUACUCUCUAUAUAUCUCCAACCCCUAUUCCUCAUAUAAUUCCCACUCACUCAUUCUCACCUCUUCCUAAACCAAACCCUAACUCUCCCUCUCUCUCUCUGGCGCUCAACUCUGACAGAGCCAUGGCCCUCACACGUGCCAUGCUUUUCCUCACAAUGUCACUUGCUGUUGUAGCACCGACAUCUUCCACCCCAUCAACGCCCAUCACCAUGGCACCUUCGCCGAUGACUAUGAUGGCACCACCGCCAAUGUCUAUGAUGACGCCGUCGCCUAUGAUGACGCCACCGCCUAUGAUGACGCCGUCGCCUAUGAUGACGCCGCCGCCUAUGAUGACGCCACCGCCUAUGAUGACGCCGCCACCUAUGAUGACGCCGCCGCCUAUGAUGACGCCUAUGAUGACGCCGCCGCCUAUGAUGACGCCUAUGAUGACGCCGCCGCCUAUGAUGGCAACGCCGCCUAUGAUGACGCCGCCGCCUAUGAUGACGCCAUCGCCUAUGAUGAUGCCACCAACCCCAACUCAAAACUCAGGUUUUGUGCAUGGAAGUAGCAUGGCCUUGGUGGCAUUCUUGGGUGGACUUGCACUACUUUUUUAAUCACAAAAAGGCCCUCGUUUGAUAUUUACAUGUAGAUUAGAGAUGGUAUAUCAUCAUUAUGUGUAUUCUUUGUUUUCCAUAUUUCUUCUUUUAAAACUUUUUUUACCCUUUCUUUUAUUUUUGAUUUUUGUUGACGACUUUUGGGAGCUCCAUGUUAUGAUAAUUUGUGAAAGGAGGGUGAUGAUAGUUUGGAGGACACAAUUUGUUGGAUGUACUUAAUUAAUAGCAGCUCUUGUUUUGUAGCAUUUUCAUGAGGACUUUAAGAAUAAAGAGAGACCCCCUCAUUCUUGUUUGUGUUUCCAAAUCUUAUACAAUCUAAUUUCCUAAGCGUAGAUACACGUUAUGUAUAUUGUUCACUUCAAUUUCAUAUGGUUAAGCAAUGAAACAAGUCUCAC